RNAcentral lists this ribosomal RNA (255 nucleotides) under uncultured bacterium. RNAcentral describes it as "partial 16S ribosomal RNA". It matches the Rfam family "Bacterial small subunit ribosomal RNA", at positions 524 to 777 of the family's 1533-position model. The record is from RNAcentral.
AACGUAGGACACAAGCGUUAUCCGGAGUUACUGGGCGUAAAGGGCGUGUAGGCGGGAUUAUAAGUCUACUCUGAAAGCUCCUGGCUAAACUGGGAGAGGCGAGUGGAGACUGUAGUUCUAGAGUGAGGAAGAGGAAAGUGGAAUUCCGCGUGUAGUGGUGAAAUGCGUAGAGAUGCGGAGGAACACCGGUGGCGAAAGCGACUUUCUGGUCCUUAACUGACGGCUGAGGCGCGAAAGCAUGGGGAGCGAACGGGG